Molecule: long non-coding RNA, 303 nt
Filed under: Populus tremula
Lineage: Eukaryota; Viridiplantae; Streptophyta; Magnoliopsida; Malpighiales; Salicaceae
Description: long non-coding RNA (PTRE_LNC000621)
Source: RNAcentral
UGGGUUUUCUAAUUCUAAAGCAACUAAGAUAUACAGUUGGGUUUCUAGUACCAAGCAGCUAAUAAUAGUGUCUGGUUUUCAAGAUGAGGUAACAAAAUUCUGGCUCCGUGGAUAGAAAAAAAAUCGAGGGAAAAGAAACGCAUACAGUGGACAAAUCAAGAAGGACCAAAGACAGGUGAAUCUGGGAGGAAAGUUUUGCCAGUCCCAGUUGUGUGCGGAAGGUGCAGCAGCAGAUAAUUUAAUUCAAUGUAACAAUGGUAUGAUAUUGACACUGUGUACUCUGACUCUUAGAUCACGUUUGGG